Penaeus indicus is the source of this 167-nucleotide small nucleolar RNA. RefSeq annotates it as small nucleolar RNA SNORA23. The transcript has a single exon. The record is from RefSeq and is a predicted model, not a curated record. NCBI's taxonomy places the organism in Eukaryota, Metazoa, Arthropoda, Malacostraca, Decapoda, Penaeidae.
UGUGGUGUGUGUGUGUGUGUGUGUGGUGUGUGUGUGUGUGGUGUGUGUGUGUGUGUAUACACACACACACACACCACACACACACACACACAUAUAUAUAUAUAUAUGUGUGUGUGUGUGUGUGUGUGUAUACACACACACACACAUAUAUAUAUAUAUAUGCAUAU